Hippocampus comes (tiger tail seahorse) is the source of this 511-nucleotide long non-coding RNA. RefSeq lists it as uncharacterized. Lineage: Eukaryota; Metazoa; Chordata; Actinopteri; Syngnathiformes; Syngnathidae. The transcript is spliced from 2 exons. The record is from RefSeq and is a predicted model, not a curated record.
AACACACACGCUCACUGCAUCAGAUUUUCACAUGACCACAUUUUGCAUUUUAUGAUUCGGUUGUGUGUUUUUGUAUUUUUAACCUUCUGUAGGUUGGAGUUGCUGAUUGCUUUCUAUUUAAAAUAAUGCUACAGUAGAGGUGUGAGUCUGAAGGAAGAGUUGCCCACCACAUGGGCAACAUUCAGAUCUACUGGAAGAGAUGCAACCUUUAAACAAGAGGCAGCCAAGGAUCUUCAAAUUUGCCCAAAAUGGCGGAUUCAAACCAAAAUGGCUGACUACCUGUUCAGUUUCUGGCACGGGCUCAAGAGACUUUGUUGUGCGUUCUGUUCUCAUUGGCAUGUCUCCCCAAUUAUGUGUUGAUCUAAAAAAAAAAAAAAAAAAAAGUUUCAUGGGUUCAUGGUUCUUUUGUUGUAUCCAAAAAUCCAUAAAAAUAAUUACAUUUGAUGCCACUCUCUGCCCAAACUUGACUGCAGAGUAAAAAAAAAAGCUUCAUAGCUUAGCAUUGCCUGUC